GACGAACGCUGGCGGCAUGCCUAACACAUGCAAGUCGAACGAAACCGUCGGGUCUAGGGGCGCUCGGGGGCGUACGGCGGGGGAAGCAACACUUAGGUACGGUAUAACUGCCCGAGAGGUGAGCUAAUGAAGGUUGAUCUCAUCGGACCAAAGAUUUAUCGCCGUUGGAUGGGGCCGGGUAGGAUUAGCUGGUUGGUAGUGGAAAAGCCGGCCAAGGCGACGAUCCAUGGCUGGUCGGGGAGGAGGCUCAGCCACGCUGGCACUGAGACACGGCCCAGACGCGGACGGAAGGGUGCAGUGGGGAGUAUUGGACACUGGGCGAUGGCCUGACCCAGCAACGCCGCGUGAGUCAUGCAGGCCUUAGUGUUGUAAAGCUCUUUUACCCGGGAUGAUAAUGACGGUACCGGGAGAAUAAGCACCGGCUAACUCCGUG
RNAcentral lists this ribosomal RNA (433 nucleotides) under uncultured bacterium. Its description in RNAcentral is "partial 16S ribosomal RNA". It matches the Rfam family "Bacterial small subunit ribosomal RNA", at positions 28 to 507 of the family's 1533-position model. The record is from RNAcentral.